AACGCAAAUUGCGCUCUCGGGAUAGGCCUGAGAGCCCGCCUCUUUGAGUAUCGAUUCCACCACCUCCAGAACAAACUGAUUUCGAUUGGUUUUGCGCUGGGAAUUUGAGUGCUUCACAUCGUCAGAUGCGUCACUUGAAGCGUAAUGGAAUUGAGGGUCUUGCGAAACUGCUGUUGAAUGUCAGUUGCUGAAGUGGACUUGAACAUGGAUAAAUUUCCAAUGAUCAAUAAACUUUGGCUAGAAUUCUAAGUUUUGCAAACAAGAAGCCCUCUCCUAACUAAUUUUUUAAUUAUCUAAGAAUUAGAUCUCAAAUGAAGCGAGACAACCCGCUGAACUUAA
This 339-nucleotide unclassified non-coding RNA is filed under the name uncultured fungus. RNAcentral's name for it is "sequence contains ITS2". The record is from RNAcentral. Lineage: Eukaryota; Fungi.